GACGAACGCUGGCGGCGUGCCUAAUACAUGCAAGUAGAACGCUGAAGACUUUAGCUUGCUAAAGUUGGAAGAGUUGCGAACGGGUGAGUAACGCGUAGGUAACCUGCCUACUAGCGGGGGAUAACUAUUGGAAACGAUAGCUAAUACCGCAUAACAGCAUUUAACCCAUGUUAGAUGCUUGAAAGGAGCAAUUGCUUCACUAGUAGAUGGACCUGCGUUGUAUUAGCUAGUUGGUGAGGUAACGGCUCACCAAGGCGACGAUACAUAGCCGACCUGAGAGGGUGAUCGGCCACACUGGGACUGAGACACGGCCCAGACUCCUACGGGAGGCAGCAGUAGGGAAUCUUCGGCAAUGGGGGCAACCCUGACCGAGCAACGCCGCGUGAGUGAAGAAGGUUUUCGGAUCGUAAAGCUCUGUUGUAAGAGAAGAACGUGUGUGAGAGUGGAAAGUUCACACAGUGACGGUAACUUACCAGAAAG
RNAcentral lists this ribosomal RNA (480 nucleotides) under uncultured bacterium. RNAcentral describes it as "bacterial SSU rRNA". It matches the Rfam family "Bacterial small subunit ribosomal RNA", at positions 28 to 490 of the family's 1533-position model. The record is from RNAcentral.